Molecule: RNA transcript, 2110 nt
Organism: Sorghum bicolor (sorghum)
Lineage: Eukaryota; Viridiplantae; Streptophyta; Magnoliopsida; Poales; Poaceae
Exons: 8
Source: RefSeq, a predicted model, not a curated record
CUUAAUCCUAUCCCGUAUUUUUUCUUGGUCUAAUUUCGAGAUCGUGGGAGGAGUCGACGAGAUGUCGGUUUCACCCAGCUCGCCGCAACCUCCGCCGCACGAGCCCAACUUCCCCUGCCCUGGAGGAUCUAGCGCCUAGUACCAGCGCUCCAGGCGCCGCCGGCUCGGUUAGGGCAGCGGUGGCGGUGCCCUCCAUGGCCUCGACGGCGACGGCCCCUAAGCGCAGUGUCCCUUCCCCUCGACUGGUGGAACAGAUCGCGAGUCGCCUUCCGUAUGCCCCUUCGAUGGUGGGCCGCUCCCCAGCAUCCGGGCCAUGGCAUGAUGGCAUGGCCAUCCCACGCGGACGGUGCUCCCCCACAACAACAGUGUCCGCGAUCCAUCUCCCCUUCACCAACAGUGGCGGCGCCGGCCCAUCUCCGCUUCACCAGCGUUGUCAUGCCGUCGUGGGUCCCCGGUGGCAGCGUCUUCUGGCCUGGUCACCCACGGCGGCGUCCUCUGGCCUGGUCCCCCGCGGCGGCAGUCAACUACCAGGUUGUGAUCUCUAUUCGUCGCACGACCCUUCGCCAGGCCAGUGGUGGAUCUGUGGAGCGAAGGGAGAUCCAGUCCGUCAACCUGCAACGGUCCUCCUACUAUAUCUUCGGGUGCCGUCCCACGCCUGUAGCCUGCUGAUCUAGGAUGUGUUCUCUGCAAGUGUUCGUUCAGGAUGUGUUCUCUGCAAGUGUUCGAGGCCAGGAGCUCCUCUUCAAUUGCAGCUAGGUCUGAGGACACUAGGAGCUAAUUAGGCAAAAAUUCUCAUAUCCAUGCUGUUGGUAGCCUGGUGCUGUCCACAUCCAUGUCUUGGAUUUUGCACAAAGAAUGCCUAAAUUUUUGGUCCUUGUAUCUGAUGUGAAAAUGGAAUCAUUGCUUUGUCAAGAUGGAGUCCACUGGCCUAUCAGUUAUUUCCACCAGAGGAUGUCCAUGCCGCAAAAGGCCCUGGUUCCUCAACUAAAAGUUUCCAGUUGAAGUUGGUCGAUAAAAUGCAUGACAACACAAGAAGGGAUGUUAAGUGCGGUGGAUAUUUUGGGAGCAGCAGGCUUGCAGUGUAUGUUAUCAACGCAGGUUCUACCAUUUUGAAGCUAGCAGAACCUGACCAUGUGAGACCUAUGCAGCACAUAGUCUGUAGUUACGAUUAUUAGGUGUUUUAAGCCACAGUGGAUAUUUUGGAAAGGGCUACAGUAGUCUUAUGUCUGGCCAUCUACUAUAUAGACUAUUCACAACCAUAUAUCACUUUUCUUCUUCCUAGUUCAGCAGCUUCCUUUCUUAGGUGCUCAUCAGCUUAACCUUGGAGAUGAACUGAUCUGGGAGGUUACAGGUUGAAGGGUGAAUUUGUGUUGUAGACUGAGUCUUAUAGGUUAAGGUUCAAUUUUCAUUUAUGGUGUUAUUUGUUUAUUGCAGACAAUCCAUCUCUCCUCUGCUCCUACUGCUGGCCCUGGCAUCCUGACCUCCUGUUGCUAAUGCCUCUCAUUCAACCUGUUCUACAUGCCGAGAUACCUAUGGAUUAUCUAUGCAAGAUGAAAUAAGCUGGUGGAUUCACAAAUUAGUGUUCAUGUAUGAAGAUCCACUUCCAAACUUUCUUAUGGUUUCUUUUAGAUUUUUCAGUCAUGCAGUGUAGCUUCCAAGUUUGCUAUGCUUGAUCGACAGAGUUGGGUUCAGAAUAGUUCAGGAAAUACCAUUUUUCUCAGUAUUCAUAUGUGAUAUCUUUACAUUUAAAUCAUUUUUUUAGAUGUUCAAUUAUGAAUGGGCAUGGCAUAGGGAAGAGUUGAAGCAUUAUCGACAUCUCAUGUCAUAGUUUCAAAGUUAGUGUUAGCUAUUCAGGAUACAUGUCAUUUUCAUUUUAACACGUCCUUGUCACGGAUAGUUGAGAUUACUAUGGUACAUCAUUUUUAAUGACUGUACCUAGCACUAUUUAUGACCAAAAUGCUUGCAUCAUAAAUAAUUUAGACUUCAUGGUCGAUGAUUAUUUCAUUUUGUGAGGCCACCUUACAAAUGUCGCAAAAAAGAAAAAUACUUUGUUAUGGCUUACUCUGUUUUUAACCAUGAAAGUUCUCUUUUUUUUCCUGUUCUGCUUCUU